GAGUUUGAUCCUGGCUCAGGACGAACGCUGGCGGCGCGCCUAACACAUGCAAGUCGAACGAGCGAGAGAGAGCUUGCUUUCUCGAGCGAGUGGCGAACGGGUGAGUAACGCGUGAGGAACCUGCCUCAAAGAGGGGGACAACAGUUGGAAACGACUGCUAAUACCGCAUAAGCCCACAGCUCGGCAUCGAGCAGAGGGAAAAGGAGCAAUCCGCUUUGAGAUGGCCUCGCGUCCGAUUAGCUAGUUGGUGAGGUAACGGCCCACCAAGGCGACGAUCGGUAGCCGGACUGAGAGGUUGAACGGCCACAUUGGGACUGAGACACGGCCCAGACUCCUACGGGAGGCAGCAGUGGGGAAUAUUGCACAAUGGGGGAAACCCUGAUGCAGCGACGCCGCGUGGAGGAAGAAGGUCUUCGGAUUGUAAACUCCUGUUGUUGAGGAAGAUAAUGACGGUACUCAACAAGGAAGUGACGGCUAACUACGUGCCAGCAGCCGCGGUAAAACGUAGGUCACAAGCGUUGUCCGGAAUUACUGGGUGUAAAGGGAGCGCAGGCGGGAAGACAAGUUGGAAGUGAAAUCUAUGGGCUCAACCCAUAAACUGCUUUCAAAACUGUUUUUCUUGAGUAGUGCAGAGGUAGGCGGAAUUCCCGGUGUAGCGGUGGAAUGCGUAGAUAUCGGGAGGAACACCAGUGGCGAAGGCGGCCUACUGGGCACCAACUGACGCUGAGGCUCGAAAGUGUGGGUAGCAAACAGGAUUAGAUACCCUGGUAGUCCACACCGUAAACGAUGAUUACUAGGUGUUGGAGGAUUGACCCCUUCAGUGCCGCAGUUAACACAAUAAGUAAUCCACCUGGGGAGUACGACCGCAAGGUUGAAACUCAAAGGAAUUGACGGGGGCCCGCACAAGCAGUGGAGUAUGUGGUUUAAUUCGACGCAACGCGAAGAACCUUACCAAGUCUUGACAUCCUGCGACGGACAUAGAAAUAUGUCUUUCCUUCGGGACGCAGAGACAGGUGGUGCAUGGUUGUCGUCAGCUCGUGUCGUGAGAUGUUGGGUUAAGUCCCGCAACGAGCGCAACCCUUACUGUCAGUUACUACGCAAGAGGACUCUGGCAGGACUGCCGUUGACAAAACGGAGGAAGGUGGGGAUGACGUCAAAUCAUCAUGCCCUUUAUGACUUGGGCUACACACGUACUACAAUGGCGUUAAACAAAGAGAAGCAAGACCGCGAGGUGGAGCAAAACUCAGAAACAACGUCCCACCUCGGACUGCAGGCUGCAACUCGCCUGCACGAAGUCGGAAUUGCUAGUAAUCGUGGAUCAGCAUGCCACGGUGAAUACGUUCCCGGACCUUGUACAGACCGCCCGUC
RNAcentral lists this ribosomal RNA (1368 nucleotides) under uncultured bacterium. RNAcentral describes it as "bacterial SSU rRNA". It matches the Rfam family "Bacterial small subunit ribosomal RNA". The record is from RNAcentral.